Molecule: non-coding RNA, 31 nt
Filed under: Mus musculus (house mouse)
Lineage: Eukaryota; Metazoa; Chordata; Mammalia; Rodentia; Muridae
Source: RNAcentral
UGCCAUUUGUGAUUGGUAUCUGCAUGAGCAU